Molecule: ribosomal RNA, 492 nt
Filed under: uncultured bacterium
Lineage: Bacteria
Description: partial 16S ribosomal RNA
Rfam family: Bacterial small subunit ribosomal RNA
Source: RNAcentral
AGUGAACGCUGGCGGUAGGCCUAACACAUGCAAGUCGAACGGCAGCACAGUAAGAGCUUGCUCUUACGGGUGGCGAGUGGCGGACGGGUGAGGAAUACAUCUGAAUCUACUUUUUCGUGGGGGAUAACGUAGGGAAACUUACGCUAAUACCGCAUACGACCUACGGGUGAAAGCAGGGGAUCUUCGGACCUUGCGCGAUUGAAUGAGCCGAUGUCGGAUUAGCUAGUUGGCGGGGUAAAGGCCCACCAAGGCGACGAUCCGUAGCUGGUCUGAGAGGAUGAUCAGCCACACUGGAACUGAGACACGGUCCAGACUCCUACGGGAGGCAGCAGUGGGGAAUAUUGGACAAUGGGCGCAAGCCUGAUCCAGCCAUACCGCGUGGGUGAAGAGGGCCUUCGGGUUGUAAAGCCCUUUUGUUGGGAAAGAAAAGCAGCAGGUUAAUACCCCGCUGUUCUGACGGUACCCAAGGAAUAAGCACCGGCUAACUUCGUG